Molecule: ribosomal RNA, 487 nt
Filed under: uncultured bacterium
Lineage: Bacteria
Description: bacterial SSU rRNA
Rfam family: Bacterial small subunit ribosomal RNA
Source: RNAcentral
AGACGACGCUGGCGGCGUGGAUUAGGCAUGCAAGUCGAACGGUAUCAUCCUUUCGGGGGUGAGAGAGUGGCGAACUGGUGAGUAACACGUAGGUUAUCUACCCUCAAGGACGGGGACAACCCAGGGAAACUUGGGCUAAUACCGGAUGUGAGCAACUUUAGUUGUUUGAAAGGUGGCGUAAGCUGUCGCUUGGGGAUGAGCCUGCGUCCUAUUAGUUAGUUGGUGAGGUAACGGCUCACCUAGGCAAUGAUAGGUAGGCGGCCUUAACGGGUGGUCGCCCACACUGGGAUUGAGAUACGGCCCAGACUCCUACGGGAGGCAGCAGUCGAGAAUAGUCUACAAUGGUCGGAAGACUGAUAGUGCGACGCCGCGUGAACGAUGAAUCCCUUCGGGGUGUAAAGUUCUUUUAUAUGUGAGCAGUGCUUCUUAUAUUAACAGUAUGGGGAGAGAGAUAUUAGCAUAUGAAUAAGCAACGGCUAACUCCGUG